This 96-nucleotide small nucleolar RNA is filed under the name Olea europaea subsp. europaea. RNAcentral describes it as "Small nucleolar RNA Z107/R87". It matches the Rfam family "Small nucleolar RNA Z107/R87". From Rfam's summary of the family: Z107 and R87 are members of the C/D class of snoRNA which contain the C (UGAUGA) and D (CUGA) box motifs. Most of the members of the box C/D family function in directing site-specific 2'-O-methylation of substrate RNA Lineage: Eukaryota; Viridiplantae; Streptophyta; Magnoliopsida; Lamiales; Oleaceae. The record is from Rfam by way of RNAcentral.
AAUCGCAGUGACGACUUCUAAAUUUCAAGCUCAACAGACCGGAUUGCAGGUCAGAUAAUUACUUGCAUGUCGAUUAACCCGCUGAACCGAGCGUUC